Molecule: ribosomal RNA, 217 nt
Filed under: uncultured bacterium
Lineage: Bacteria
Description: partial 16S ribosomal RNA
Rfam family: Bacterial small subunit ribosomal RNA
Source: RNAcentral
GACGAACGCUGGCGGCGUGCUUAACACAUGCAAGUCGAGCGGUAAGGCCCUUUCGGGGGUACGACGAGCGGCGAACGGGUGAGUAACACGUGGGUGACCUGCCCUCCAGCUCUGGGAGUAAGCCCGGGAAACCUGGGCCGUAAUACCGGAUAUGACUUCAUGACGCAUGUUGUGGAGUGGAAAGCCUUGUGCGGCUGAGGAUGGGCCCGCGGCCGUA